CCAAAUCCCUACUCUCCUAACCCCUUCUCCAACAAUCGACGCUCUCAAACCCUCAUCUCCCAAAACCCUUCUCUCCUCCCUACAAAAACCGACCGACCCUCUCUCUCUCUCUCUCUCUCUCUCUCUCUCUCUCUUUGUUUAUUGAGGUUUGGUGGUGUUUUCAUAGGGUGUAUAGCAAUGCAAAGGGAAAAUAACAGGAGAGGAAGUACAAGAGGUGAGGAUUUUUCUUCUCUUCUUCCAUAUGUAGCCAUGGCGAGUGCUUUUACGAACAAGCUAUUGAAGUCGAAAGAACAAGCAGAAGAAUACCCCUUUUUUAUCAUGGAAGAACUCAACCCUAAAAAUUUCGGCUACAUCACGGUACACCGUGCUUCCAAUCAUAGCCCAAAUCAUCAAGGACAUGCCUCAACAAUUGAAAGUGAGGCUUCUAGAGGAAGUGGGAGAGCAUGAUAGAGAACGGAUAUUGUCUGGUGCAACAACAUAAAGGAUGACAACUAUUGAGGAAAUGGUGGGCAUGUAUGUGUUGUGUGGACAAUGAACAACACUGAUAAGAGCACUUUCCAAGCUCAUUAUUUAUCUUAACAACCUAGAUCUG
This is an RNA transcript of Magnolia sinica, 592 nucleotides long. It is a transcript of the gene named respiratory burst oxidase homolog protein E-like, with no coding region annotated. The transcript has 4 exons. The record is from RefSeq and is a predicted model, not a curated record. Lineage: Eukaryota; Viridiplantae; Streptophyta; Magnoliopsida; Magnoliales; Magnoliaceae.